This 361-nucleotide unclassified non-coding RNA is filed under the name uncultured fungus. RNAcentral's name for it is "partial contains 5.8S ribosomal RNA and internal transcribed spacer 2". The stretch from base 1 to 133 matches the Rfam family "5.8S ribosomal RNA", at positions 22 to 154 of the family's 154-position model. The record is from RNAcentral. Lineage: Eukaryota; Fungi.
UGGUUCUGGCAUCGAUGAAGAACGCAGCGAAAUGCGAUAAGUAAUGUGAAUUGCAGAAUUCAGUGAAUCAUCGAAUCUUUGAACGCACAUUGCGCCCAUUAGUAUUCUAUUGGGCAUGCCUGUUCGAGCGUCAUUUUCACCCUUAAGCCUAGCUUAGCGUUGGGAGUCUACUGCGGAGCCAACCUGUACCUACCCUGUAGCUGCGGCGACCCUACCCUGUAGUUCCCUAAAUUCAACGGCGGAGCUAUAGUCACCUCUGAGCGCAGUAAUAUCUAUCACGCUUUGGAAGGUGCUAUAAUUGCGGCCGUUAAACCCCCAAGUUUUAAUGGUUGACCUCGGAUCAGGUAGGAAUACCCGCUGA